RNAcentral lists this transfer RNA (73 nucleotides) under Planctomycetota bacterium. RNAcentral's name for it is "Planctomycetes bacterium (rhizosphere metagenome) tRNA-Val". It matches the Rfam family "tRNA". From Rfam's summary of the family: Transfer RNA (tRNA) molecules are approximately 80 nucleotides in length. Their secondary structure includes four short double-helical elements and three loops (D, anti-codon, and T loops). Further hydrogen bonds mediate the characteristic L-shaped molecular structure. tRNAs have two regions of fundamental functional importance: the anti-codon, which is responsible for specific mRNA codon recognition, and the 3' end, to which the tRNAs corresponding amino acid is attached (by aminoacyl-tRNA synthetases). tRNAs cope with the degeneracy of the genetic code in two manners: having more than one tRNA (with a specific anti-codon) for a particular amino acid; and 'wobble' base-pairing, i.e. permitting non-standard base-pairing at the 3rd anti-codon position. Lineage: Bacteria; Pseudomonadati; Planctomycetota. The record is from RNAcentral.
GCUCCCGUGGCCCAGCGGCAACGGCACCUCCCUGACGUGGAGAGGAUCGCAGGUUCGAGUCCUGCCGGGAGUA